This 426-nucleotide ribosomal RNA is filed under the name uncultured bacterium. Its description in RNAcentral is "bacterial SSU rRNA". It matches the Rfam family "Bacterial small subunit ribosomal RNA", at positions 917 to 1345 of the family's 1533-position model. The record is from RNAcentral.
GGACCCGCACAAGCGGUGGAGCAUGUGGUUUAAUUCGAUGCAACGCGAAAAACCUUACCUACUCUUGACAUACUUGGAAGCUCUUGUAAUGAGAGUGUGCCUUUUGGAGCCAAGAUACAGGUGCUGCAUGGCUGUCGUCAGCUCGUGUCGUGAGAUGUUCCGUUAAGUCGGAUAACGAGCGCAACCCUUACCCUUAUUUGCCAGCGAUUCGGUCGGGAACUAUAAGGGGACUGCCGGUGAUAAACCGGAGGAAGGUGAGGACGACGUCAAGUCAUCAUGGCCCUUACGAGUAGGGCUACACACGUGCUACAAUGGGGAAUACAGACGGACGCUAAGCCGCGAGGUGGUGCUAAUCCAUAAAACCGAUCUCAGUUCGGAUUGGAGUCUGCAACUCGACUCCAUGAAGUUGGAAUCGCUAGUAAUCGC